AGUGAACGCUGGCGGUAUGCCUAACACAUGCAAGUCGAGCGACAGCACAAUGAGAUCGUGCUCUUGCGGUUGGCGAGGGGCGGAUGGGUGACGAGUACAUCGGAUUCUUCUAUGACGGGGGGAAUAACGGGAGGAAAGUGAUGCUACUAGCGCAUACAUCGUACCGGUUGAAGCAAUAGUGCUUCACGCCUUUGCCGACUCAAUGAGAUGGUUCCGGGCCGCAUUGGCUAGUUGGUAAGGUAACGGCAUACCAAGGAUACGAUGCGUAGCUGAUCUGAGAGGGUGAUCAGCCACACUGGAACUGAGACACGGUCCAGACUCCUACGGGAGGCAGCAGUGGGGAAUCUUGCACAAUGGGCGAAAGCCUGAUCCAGCCAUACCGCGUGGGUGAAGAAGGCCUUCGGGUUGUAAAGCCCUUUUGUUGGGAAAGAAAAGCAGCAUGUUAAUCCCCCGAUGUUCUGACGGUACCCAAAGAAUAAGCACCGGCUAACUUCGUG
Molecule: ribosomal RNA, 497 nt
Filed under: uncultured bacterium
Lineage: Bacteria
Description: partial 16S ribosomal RNA
Rfam family: Bacterial small subunit ribosomal RNA
Source: RNAcentral